This is a long non-coding RNA of Perca fluviatilis (European perch), 413 nucleotides long. RefSeq lists it as uncharacterized. The transcript has 4 exons. Lineage: Eukaryota; Metazoa; Chordata; Actinopteri; Perciformes; Percidae. The record is from RefSeq and is a predicted model, not a curated record.
UGUGUGUUUACUACAGGUUAGACCUGUUACACAUGUGUGUUUACUACAGGUUAGACCUGUUACACAUGGGUGUUUACUACAGGUUAGACCUGUUACACAUGUGUGUUUACUACAGGUUAGACCUGUUACACAUGUGUGUUUACUACAGGUUAGACCUGUUACACAUGUGUGUUUACUACAGGUUAGACCUGUUACACAUGUGUGUUUACUACAGGUUAGACCUGUUACACAUGUGUGUUUACUACAGGUUAGACCUGUUACACAUGUGUGUUUACUACAGGUUAGUCCUGUUACACAUGUGUGUUUACUACAGGUUAGUCCUGUUACACAUGUGUGUUUACUACAGGUUAGUCCUGUUACACAUGUGUGUUUACUACAGGUUAGACCUGUUACACAUGUGUGUUUACUACAGG